AAGCGGCUGGCACCCGUCCACAACUGCCCUAUCUCGGAUCCUCGGAUUCGCAGAACCCCGCGAAAGAAGUGCAUUCAUUAUGCGACGUUGGGCGAGAGGCGUCUCGCCGGUCCCUUGCCCCCUCGGGGGUCGGGUUCCGAAUCAAAGCGUACACCCCAUUUUCAACCCCACCAAACUCUGAAUCUGAACUCGAAAGGGAGGCUGGCCUACACGGCCGGCCGCCCUCAACCAUAUAACGUUGUAAAACUUUCAGCGACGGAUGUCUUGGCUCCCACAACGAUGAAGAACGCAGCGAAAUGCGAUACGUCUUGCGACUUGCAGAAUCCAGUGAAUCAUCAAAACUUUGAACGCAUCUUGCGCUUCCGGGAUACUCCUGGGAGCAUGCUUGUCGGAGUGUCUGUUGACACCACUCGCCCGUCUCUCUUUUUAGGAAGGGCGUCGGGCGGACUCUGAGUGUUCCGGAGCUCUUCGACGCCUUCGGGUGUCGGGGAAGCGCUCCGAGUGCACCGAAUCUCGUGAACGAAACCUCUCUUCUGUCUGUGGCCUAGGUUGCGCAGAGUUGUUGACGGCGCUCGCACCCGGUCAAACGGGUUCGGCGACUCUCGGCUCGAUAAACGCGUGGCUUGGCGUCCCUUUUGGUGAGGGGUUUACUGUUUUUCCGGUGGGGAAAUUUAAUUUAUUUCCCUCCGUGUUUUACUACUUUCGU
RNAcentral lists this unclassified non-coding RNA (706 nucleotides) under Desmarestia aculeata. RNAcentral describes it as "sequence contains ITS1". The stretch from base 245 to 399 matches the Rfam family "5.8S ribosomal RNA". Lineage: Eukaryota; Phaeophyceae; Desmarestiales; Desmarestiaceae. The record is from RNAcentral.